RNAcentral lists this ribosomal RNA (856 nucleotides) under Prorocentrum caipirignum. RNAcentral's name for it is "partial 28S ribosomal RNA". It matches the Rfam family "Eukaryotic large subunit ribosomal RNA", at positions 43 to 863 of the family's 3401-position model. Lineage: Eukaryota; Dinophyceae; Prorocentrales; Prorocentraceae. The record is from RNAcentral.
UUAGUAGGCGGCGGAAGAUAACCCAAAAGGGAUUCCUUCAGUAAUGGCGAAUGAACGGGGAAAAGCUCAGCAAAGAAAUCAGGGACCCCGUCCUUGAGUUGUGGACUUGAGAGGUAUUGCCAAUGGUGGCGCAGGUGCGGGCCUCUUGGAAAAGGGCACCACAGAGGGUGUGAGUCCUGUUUGUCAUCUGUAGUCCGCCAUGUACGGCAUGCCUCCUCAGAGUCACGUUCCUUGGAAUUGGAGCGCGAAGGUGGUGGUGGCUUUCAUCUCAAGCUAAAUAUGGGUUCGAGACCGAUAGCAAACAAGUACCAUGAGGGAAAAUUGAAAAGAGCUUUGGAAAGAGAGUUAAAAGUGCCCGAACUUGCUGAUAGGGAAGCGAAGGGAGCUGACGUUGCUUGGUGACAUUUUCCGCGCAAGAGUAGGAUGGGUUCUGAUUGCAAUGUGCGUAGUGCUUCUUGCCGUGCGUGUCGAUGCCAAGCAACGAGUGGGGAGAGCACCAGGGAUAUGAUUGUUCUGUCCCCGGGUGGACGAAGGUGCCUGGUCGCAUCCAUUUGUGGGCUGAAACAAGUGGUGGCUGGUUGCAGCGCUCCAUAACUGCCAGGCAGUUGGGGUGCAGCCCUGAUACGCAGACGAGGACAAAGUGCUUCUGUUCGACCCGUCUUGAAACACGGACCAAGGAGUCUGACACUCAUGCAAGCUCGCGGGUGGGUAAACUUGUUCGCGUAAUUAAGGUGUCUGUUGUGAUUUUUGCACCAACGCCCGACCAAUCAAUUGAGAGAGGUUUGAGUGUGAGCAUUUCUGUCAGGACCCGAAAGAUGGUGAACUAUGCUUGAGAAGGGUAAGUUCAGGGGAAACU